This 229-nucleotide ribosomal RNA is filed under the name Saxifraga sinomontana. RNAcentral's name for it is "5.8S ribosomal RNA". The stretch from base 1 to 151 matches the Rfam family "5.8S ribosomal RNA". Rfam says of the family: 5.8S ribosomal RNA (5.8S rRNA) is a component of the large subunit of the eukaryotic ribosome. It is transcribed by RNA polymerase I as part of the 45S precursor that also contains 18S and 28S rRNA. Lineage: Eukaryota; Viridiplantae; Streptophyta; Magnoliopsida; Saxifragales; Saxifragaceae. The record is from RNAcentral.
UCGGCAACGGAUAUCUCGGCUCUUACAUCGAUGAAGAACGUAGCAAAAUGCGAUACUUGGUGUGAAUUGCAGAAUCCCGUGAACCAUCGAGUCUUUGAACGCAAGUUGCGCCCGAACCCUUCGGGUUGAGGGCACGUCUGCCUGGGCGUCACGUACGCAUGUCUCUCACAACCCUUCGCCCCUUGCGRACGUAGGGCUUCGUGCGAGCAGAGAUUGGUAUCCCGUGCUC